RNAcentral lists this long non-coding RNA (2498 nucleotides) under Lathyrus oleraceus (garden pea). Its description in RNAcentral is "Pisum sativum (pea) long non-coding RNA (PSAT_LNC019985)". Lineage: Eukaryota; Viridiplantae; Streptophyta; Magnoliopsida; Fabales; Fabaceae. The record is from RNAcentral.
UUUGUUCUAACAAUUUUUUUUCAUUUACUUUUGAACACAAGAUAGAAUAUCAUAUAUAAAAUUGAAUUGAGUUAUUUACCAAAAUUACAUUAUUUGCAUUACAUUACAACUGGGUUUUUUUGUUACAUUGAAAUUCACUACACAAAGCCCUCCAAUAUGCAUACAUACUUCAUACAUCCAGAAAUAAAUUUAUACAUUAAUUAAAAAUUACAAAAAAGAUAAUUAAAAAAUAAGAAAAAAGAAGAAAGUUAAGUUUGUUUUGGGCUCCACAUGAGCCUCAUGAUGGCUCUCAACUUCACCAUCCCAACACUAUUUAUCACAUGCCAUCAACCCUGCAUACAUCAAAACCAAAUGAAAAAAAAGGUAAGCAUUACACGAGCUUUUCAUUCAAGCAACACAACUCAUCAUAGAAUCACCAUAACAUAAAUACCAACAUACAUCAAAUGACACAAAUGAAUUAAAAUGAAGUGGAAAAACAUGUGCCCCCUCCAAAGCAUAUCAUCCCACAUACAUCAUCUUCAUCAUAAUACAUCAAUUUACAUACAAAUCAAGUUUAAAAUGAAAAUAAAAAAGAGAAAUAAGGUAGAGUCAAGGAAAAUCAUGUGCACUCAGUAUGCCCACAUACAUCAUCUCAUCACUAUCAUUAAAGAAUCCAUCAAAAACACACGAGGAUUCCUCACUAAACUCACAUAAUUCAUCACACUCAUUCAUUCACGUUUUCACUCAACUCUCCAUAAUUUCCUCAUACUCACACGAAUCACCAAAGAUUCCCCAAAAAAAUCAUCAUAACAAACUUCAUUUCCCUCCUAAAAAACUCACAAGUUUCAUCCCUCAAUUCACUCUAUCACACCUAUAAGUAGAGCAUAAACAUCACUCUUAAAACACAAGAAAAUACCCUAGCAGAGCCAUGCUAAAAACGUACUUGGCCCUCACCAAAGCUAUUCAACCUAAAGCCUCUAAAGUUCAACAUCUGAACUUGAGUAAGGCUUGAGCUCUAAACCCUUCACCAUAUCACAAAGUAACCUUGCACAAAGCAGAAGAAAGAGGAGAGGAAGGAAGUAUCAUAAACAAACAGAAACAGAAAGAAGGAACUGAUAGAGUUUACCCGAGGUUGGUCGCCGAAGUCUCACCGAAGUUUAAACCAUUGGCGAGGUCUUCUUAUUCACUUUCCUUUUGUUUUUCCUGCAUAUUAACGUUGUUUUAUCUAUUGCUGUAUGUUAUGUGUAAUUUGGACAUACAGAAUUAAGGGGUUAAGUUAAAUUUAGGGAUGAGCCCUAUCUGGGCUCAUAGUUGCUUAUUUGGUUAUUUUGACGAUGGAUUCUUGAUCAAGGACUAUUUUUAGGCUAGGGUUUUAUUUUUCAUUUUGGAUUUGGACAAUUUUCGUGAAAUCUGAGUUUCAAGUAUGAACAUCUUCAUGAUGUUCAUGCUUGUUCUAAGACAACCACUAUGGUUGAUCUUGGUUUGGUGGAAAGAGAAGCAAGAAAUGUGUUAGUGUGGUGGGGCAGGUUAGAGGUAGAGAGAGAGAGUAGGUCAGAGUAGAGAGAGAAGGAAGUUGAAAAAUGAAUCCCACGUGAGGUCUCCCUCACUUUUACCUCUCUCACAUCUGAACCCUUUCCAACACAUGGUGGCUUUGGAACCAUGAGAUUCGUUGACCGCUCAUCAUUGAAAAGGGUUUCUGUAGUAGACCUUCAUCAUAGCCUUCACGCGCAUGCGUUUCCUUGACCUUCAUAUUUAUGUGGCUUUCAUCCAAGGGACAAGGUUGAGUUAACGUUAUUGACUCCUCUGAUCCUUUGACUUGGACGAGCGCCCUGCUUUGGGCUUUCACGUUCGGCCACUGCUAGGCGCACCCCUUCCUGGUCCAUUUUUGCUUGCAAUCUUUUUUUAUUAUUUUAUUUUAUAAUUUUGGAUCUUGGGCCUUUGGCAUAUUUGUGCUUAUCUAUGUUUACUAGCAGCAUACCCCAUACCAUUUUUAUGCACCCCCAUUUCUAUUAUUAUUUUCAUGUCAUUUUUAUUUAUUUAUUGUUCUUUUAUUUUAUUUAAUAAUAAACAUUACUUCAAUAAUAAUAAAAUCAAUUACAUUUGUAACAAAAAUCUUGAUCCAACGUCAAGAAUUUUUUUAAAAAUCAAAUUCAACGCAUUCUCAAAUACGACUCAAAGCGUUUAAUCGAUAUCAAACUUCUUUUCAAACUCAAACCCUUAGUCAAAUCUUUUUCUCAAGUAAACCCAAUGAAAAGGGUUAAUUGAGUGUAUACAUGUUUUCUCCUCAAGUAUUAGGUCACUGGAUGUAGAGCUCACUGUUUGAAGACUCGUCAUCCGCAUUAAAAGAUAAUAAUUAACCGAAUUUGGUUUGAUCUUUUAUAGAAGAAAAAUGAUUAAUUGGGUGUAGAUCUCUUUCUUCCCCGAGUAUUUAGACACUGGCUGUAGAGCUCGCUGUGCAAAUACUCAUCUUUCGUUAAAGAACCAUUACUCAAUUUGAUUCACAUAUUUUAAAAUAAAUU